Molecule: ribosomal RNA, 304 nt
Filed under: uncultured bacterium
Lineage: Bacteria
Description: partial 16S ribosomal RNA
Rfam family: Bacterial small subunit ribosomal RNA
Source: RNAcentral
CAGCAGUAGCCACGGUAAUACGUAGGUGGCAAGCGUUGUCCGGAAUUAUUGGGCGUAAAGGGCUCGUAGGCGGUUUCUUAAGUCUGAUGUGAAAGCCCCCGGCUCAACCGGGGAGGGUCAUUGGAAACUGGGAAACUUGAGUGCAGAAGAGGGGAGUGGAAUUCCACGUGUAGCGGUGAAAUGCGUAGAGAUGUGGAGGAACACCAGUGGCGAAGGCGACUCUCUGGUCUGUAACUGACGCUGAGGAGCGAAAGCGUGGGGAGCGAACAGGAUUAGAUACCCCGGUAGUCCCUGUCUCUUAUAC